AAAAUAACAAAGGUAAAGGUAUUUUCACCUUAUCUUGGCAUAGCUAUCAACAACCUAUUUUCGAUCCAAACCUGUUUUCGACUGGCACCGGAAAAUAUGUAAAACUCAUGGAUUGCACGUGACUUCCGCCUAGGCAGGUCAUAGGAGGAUCAUACAGAGUGGGGCCAGUGAUACCAGGGUUCAUGCUGGGUGCAUUUAUCCGCUUUAUCAUGUGAAAACCAGAAGUGAUGCAAAUGGUACACAUUAGAAAAUUAUGGUCCAUGUGAACACGUUCUGAAGACGUUUGACGCCAAAGUUUAGAGAUUCAAAAGUUAAGCAGUAUUUAAUUCGAAGAUCUACUACAACUCACGAGCCAUAUGCAGAACCAGAGAACAGAUGUUGUACCAGUGUAACACAUGCGGUGAUUAAGUCACAGAAACUCUGUACACAAAAAAAAAUCAUUUGAAAAUACUGAAGUGAGACAUGGACUGCUGCUUACCAAUUAAUUUUACGGACACACGAGGAAAGACAUUGAAGUGUGAGACAUAUGUUGAAUUUGUGCCCAUAUAUUUAUUUGAAUGACGCUCACAAGAAACUGAAAUAGACAUUUAACUUAAUGUAAAAGUAAAACAUGUAAUCAUGUUUUUUUCUCAAAAGUGUUCUCAAUAGAACAUGUUAAAUAUCGCACACCGGAUAUAUAUAUAUAUAUGUGAUACAUUCGAUGAUGCUUUCUCUCUGAUGGUAAUUUGGAUAUAGGAAAAAGAAACAGCUGUGAAGAAAUACAAUUGUAGAAUAUGUUAUCCUGAGUUUCUUGAAAAUGGAGUUUCAGAAAAAGAAGGAGAGUAAACACAUGGGAGAGAAGCCAUACAAGUGUGAGACAUGUAAUGCGUCUUUCUCCUUGAAAGGUCAUUUAAAGGUACAUACAAUAAUUCACACAGGAGAAAAGCCAUACAAGUGUGAGACAUGUAAUGCGGCUUUCUCUUUUAAAGGUUAUUUACAGUCACAUGCAAGAGUACACACACGAAAGAAGCUAUACAAGUGUGAGAUUUGUGAUGUUGCUUUCUUUUUAGAAAGUCAUUUACAAGCACAUACCAGGAGACACACAGAAGAGAAGGCCUACAAAUGUGAAACAUGUGAUGCCGCUUUCUCUAAGAAAAGUCACUUUAUGGCGCAUACAACAAUACACACAGGAGAGAAGCCAUACAAGUGUGAGACAUGUGAUGCUGCUUUCUCCUUGAAAGGUCAUUUAAAGGCACAUACAAGAGUUCACACAGGAGAAAAGCCAUACAAGUGUGGGAUAUGUGAUGCUGAUUUUUCCCUUAAAAGUCAAUUGCAGAGACAUAUGAGAACACACACAGGGGAAAAACCUUUUAAGUGCGACAUUUGUGAUAGUGCUUUCUCUCUGAAAUGUAACUUACACACUCAUAUAAGAAUACACACAGGAGAGAAGCCAUACAAGUGCGAUAUUUGUGAUUCUUCUUUCUCGCGUAGUACUCGUUUACAUAGACAUAUGAGUAUACACACAGGAGAUAAGCCACACAUGUGUAAAAUAUGCGGUGUUUGUUUUUCUUUGAAAAACUACUUGCAGGCACAUUUGAGAAUCCAUACAGGAGAGAAACCAUACAAGUGUAAGCAUUGUGAUGCUGCUUUUUCGCAGAGAAGUAGUUUAGGGAGACAUAUAAGAGCACGUGCACGAAAAGAUGCCAUGCAUGUGUGAGAUGCUGCAUUUGUGCAGAAGAGUAGUUUAUUGAGACUUAUAAAAAUAAAAAACGAGAAAUACGACAUACUAAUGUUUUAAUAGUUGUGCAAUUUAAUACUUCACACGAAAAAGCCGAACAAAUUAAAGAGUCAAAAUCAUGCUUUCCGAUACAACUUAUAUGGCGAUGUAAGAUGCGUUGUUUACUAUGUAUUAUGCGCGAACGGAGACAGCCAAUCUGAAGCCAGCAACCGAGAAGUAGGACAGCGAUGAGGUCAAAAUGAGAUCAAGUUGUACAGGGCCUUAUAAGUUAACAAUAUAAUGAACUUGACUGUGAGGAAAUGAAACGUCCUUUUUGAAUAUGACAUUGUUUUAUUUACUGACACAUGGAGGAAUGAAAGGUUUAAUUAUGAUGUUGACAUUUUUACUUCGUAUGUUGUACACAGAAAAAAUAAAGCGAAAACAAUCGAAGAUAAACAGUGGUAGAGUAAUGAUUUGCAUUCAUAAUAUAUUAAAAUAAUAUGUUCAAUUUGUAAAGCAUACAAGUGUUUGUACACAAUAGAUAAGAUUAGAGAGGAAAGUAUUUGAACAUGAACAUGAUGUUUUUUUGUGCCUUACUUAUUAUGUUUUACAAGGUUGAUGCAGAGAAUAUUUCAUUGAAACUAGUGUUUUUGAAUUGAUAAUAUAUGAUAUAUUGAAAUUCACUCAUACGUAUGAUAGUACAUGUAAGAAUUUCAGUGUGUGAUUUUGCUGUAAAUGACAAUAUUGAUGUUUGUUAGGAAAGCUUUUACUAGAUGCUUAUAUACAAGAUGAAUAUUUAUCAAGAAUCAAUUCACAAGACUGUGAAUGGAAAUUGGAAGAUAUUGUUAGAUUUUAGUAAGAUGUCUGGUUUGAGGUUUUUGAAAGGAAGUAUAGGAUUAAAUUGUGAAAUAGGAAAAUGUACAUAUAAGAUUAGAUUGAAAAAAAUAUAGUAGAAUCUCGAAGCUUGUAUAAACAAACUGUUAGAAAAAAGAAAUGUGUUUAGAACAAGACGGUUUAUUCAAAGAAAGGAAAUAUUAUACACAAUAUAUAUUUGAAAUAGGCCAACAUGACCCGUGAUCAAAUCAGUCAUAGAAUAUGUAAUGGUUUACGUAUGGAAAUACAAAUAGCGAACAUGUAAACUAUUAACAAGUAUGUUUGUAUCAAAUAAAUAAAUAGCAAUUUCAUCUUAUGAGUUUGACACAUAUCAUAAAUAAUAAAUAAAUGAAUUAAACUCUAAAAUAGUACAUUUGUAUCAUAUUAUUCACAACAGUAUUUACAGAAUUUGAUAACUUCCGAAUUACGCCCCAUUCACUCUGAUAGACAACAAACAGAAAGGUUAGAGAAUGCUAAACUUCAUUGGAAUAGGUUCUGUUGUAGCAAAUGACAAAUAGAAUUUAUCAGAUUAAGAUUUUCUUAUGUAUUUCAAAGUCAUUAAUGGUCCAGACUCUUUUUUCCAACCUGAUGGUGAUGUUUUGUAUUUUCAUGAUAGAUAUUUAAUUGGGGAGUUGAAUGUGGAAUUAAAUGACUCAUUUACACAUAAUGAUUUUAGUAAAGGUUGUAAUUUGAAUUGUGACAUAGCAGCUGGGCUGGAUUAUUUGUUAAAUGAGUGUUUUAAGUAUUGUAUAUAUAGAUUUAGCUUUUUAAAUUUUGUGUGUACUCUGUUUUCACAUUGGAUAUUUUCCUGCGACAUGGUCUGAAGGCUUUAUUGUUCCUUUACAUAAAAAGGUUUACACAACUAAGGUAUAAUAGUUGUGUUGUACAUUUGCUAAAUUGUUCACAAAAGUAAUUAAUAAUAGAUUAAAUAUUUGUGUAUAUUGAGGCACAGGUAGUCUUUAGGCAAAAUAUGUGCCCGGUUGAUCAUAUUGUUGUACUUGAUAGUAUAAUUUGGUUGAAGUUAUGAGUUAGAGGAAAUAUUUUUCAUGUAAUAAAAUCAAUGUUUUCCAAUGCUAAGUCAAACUUUAGCUUAAUGAUUGAAUGGGAAAUGAAGAUGUUUCUUGUUAUAUAGGUGUACGAAAAGGAGAAAGUUGAUUGUUUUUUUUUUCAAUGUACAUAAAUCAUAUAGAAGAAUAUUGCAUGUUGAAUGGUUUCAAAGGCAUAGAUAUUGGCAUUUUAAUUGUUUUUUAUUGCUUAAUGGUGAUUAUAUAAUACAUAUGGCUGAAUUUAAGGAUGAAAUAAAUUAAGGUUAUAUAUUACUUGAACAGUAUAAUGAUAGAUGGAAACUAAGUUUAAACUGUACCAAGUCUUAAAUAAUGAUCUUUAAAAAAGGUUGAGAUAAGAGAUACAAAAUAGAUAUAGUUAACCAUUUUACAUACUUAGGCAUUGUCUUUACAAUUGGAGGCUCUUUUUCAAAAACUUAUGAAUUACUAGCAGGACAGGCAUCAAAAGCAGUUUUUUUUUAAAUUAAAUUAAUAUCUUAUUGAAUUUCCAACAGUAUCUAUAUCAAAUUUUUUUUUUUUUUAUAGAUUUAUUCUACCAAUUUUAAUUUUUCGAUCUGAAAUCUGGGUUUUAGAAAUAGUUCAUCUGAAUUUCUACAAAAAACUUUUAGGGGUUAGAAUUCAAAGUCAAAAUAAUUUCAUAUAUGGUGAGAUUAGAUGUUGGUUAAAAGAUAUUAAACUAGAGGAUAAUAGAUAUGUCUAACAUGGUUACUCUUAUAUGUGUAGAUAUUUAGAAACAAGGCCA
Molecule: long non-coding RNA, 4375 nt
Organism: Mya arenaria
Lineage: Eukaryota; Metazoa; Mollusca; Bivalvia; Myida; Myidae
Exons: 4
Source: RefSeq, a predicted model, not a curated record